Molecule: ribosomal RNA, 400 nt
Filed under: uncultured bacterium
Lineage: Bacteria
Description: bacterial SSU rRNA
Rfam family: Bacterial small subunit ribosomal RNA
Source: RNAcentral
UGGGGAAUAUUGGACAAUGGGGGCAACCCUGAUCCAGCCAUGCCGCGUGAGUGAUGAAGGCCCUAGGGUUGUAAAGCUCUUUUGUGCGGGAAGAUAAUGACGGUACCGCAAGAAUAAGCCCCGGCUAACUUCGUGCCAGCAGCCGCGGUAAUACGAAGGGGGCUAGCGUUGCUCGGAAUCACUGGGCGUAAAGGGUGCGUAGGCGGGUUUCUAAGUCAGAGGUGAAAGCCUGGAGCUCAACUCCAGAACUGCCUUUGAUACUGGAAGUCUUGAGUAUGGCAGAGGUGAGUGGAACUGCGAGUGUAGAGGUGAAAUUCGUAGAUAUUCGCAAGAACACCAGUGGCGAAGGCGGCUCACUGGGCCAUUACUGACGCUGAGGCACGAAAGCGUGGGGAGCAAA